RNAcentral lists this ribosomal RNA (207 nucleotides) under uncultured bacterium. RNAcentral's name for it is "partial 16S ribosomal RNA". It matches the Rfam family "Bacterial small subunit ribosomal RNA", at positions 568 to 774 of the family's 1533-position model. The record is from RNAcentral.
UGCGUAGGCGGGUCUUUAAGUCAGGGGUGAAAUCCUGGAGCUCAACUCCAGAACUGCCUUUGAUACUGAAGAUCUUGAGUUCGGGAGAGGUGAGUGGAACUGCGAGUGUAGAGGUGAAAUUCGUAGAUAUUAGGAGGAACACCGGAGGCGAAGGCGGCUUACUGGACGACAACUGACGUUGAGGCUCGAAGGCGUGGGGAGCAAACA